CUUUCGUGUAGUUGUAGGUUUCUGUAUCCAACGUUUGACCGUCAGUUCUAUUUGAAACUUUUUUAUGAUUAGUAUUUUUAUUGUUAUUCGGUACAUGAGUUAUUUUGUAAUUUUUUUAUAAAUUUUUUAAAUAAGACGGAUGGUUAAACAUUACACAUAGAAACCCACAACUGCGCUUAAA
This is a non-coding RNA of Oryza meridionalis, 181 nucleotides long. NCBI's taxonomy places the organism in Eukaryota, Viridiplantae, Streptophyta, Magnoliopsida, Poales, Poaceae. The record is from Rfam.